Molecule: ribosomal RNA, 253 nt
Filed under: uncultured bacterium
Lineage: Bacteria
Description: partial 16S ribosomal RNA
Rfam family: Bacterial small subunit ribosomal RNA
Source: RNAcentral
UACAGAGGGGGCAAGCGUUGUUCGGAAUUACUGGGCGUAAAGGGCGCGUAGGCGGCCCGCUAAGUCGAACGUGAAAUCCCCGGGCUCAACCCGGGAACUGCGUCCGAUACUGGUGGGCUCGAAUCCGGGAGAGGGAUGCGGAAUUCCAGGUGUAGCGGUGAAAUGCGUAGAUAUCUGGAGGAACACCGGUGGCGAAGGCGACAUCCUGGACCGGUAUUGACGCUGAGGCGCGAAAGCUAGGGGAGCAAACGGG